Molecule: transfer RNA, 58 nt
Filed under: Pediculus humanus capitis (human head louse)
Lineage: Eukaryota; Metazoa; Arthropoda; Insecta; Psocodea; Pediculidae
Description: tRNA-Gln
Source: RNAcentral
UUUAGAGUUUAUGUAAGCUUUGAACUUACUAAAGGUAAUCACUAAUUUACCCUCUAAA